This 923-nucleotide long non-coding RNA is filed under the name Equus asinus (donkey). RNAcentral describes it as "lncRNA (ENSEASG00005029984.1)". The record is from RNAcentral. Lineage: Eukaryota; Metazoa; Chordata; Mammalia; Perissodactyla; Equidae.
GCGUGUUAAAAACACAGGUUCCUGGACCUCACCCCUAGAAAUCUGAUUCAGAAGGUCUGAGGUGAGGCCCAAUACCCCGCAUCUGCAAUAAUUCUGAUGCAAGAGGUCACUGGUGAUUCCACAUGCAGCUGCCUGUAAGAACCACAGCGAUCUCAUUUCCCCAGACUUGUUGUGAAGAAGGAAGAAAAUGGAAGAUGGGGAAGGGUAUGGGUGACACCCAUGGGGACAGACGGAGAGUCAGAAUCAGCAUGUGUGUGCAAUGAUGUACCUUGGCUGGAAACCCCAGUGGCAUGGCUACAAGACACAGGGGCAUCCAAAGAAGAUAUAAGACAAGCAUAGGAGGAGGUGGAUGGACCCCUACUCCAACCCGGGUCCCAUGCGCUGAGGCCCAAGAGAUGGUCUCCAGCAGGGAGCUAAGGCUGAGCGUUGGGGAGGGAUCCCCCCUGCUGACCACGCACCCUUUCCAGAUGAGAACACAGGCAUGAGAAAGAGAAGCAAUUUGACUAAGAUGGAAAGACAGAGUUUACAGUCCAACAGGGAGACUGGCAUGAAACAAACAUAGAAAUAAAUACACAGCCGCAAAGAAUGGAGGAGAAACUGAGGCUCUAACAGGCUCAGUAAAUUGCCUAAAGCCACAUGGAUACAGAGAGGAGAAGGAACUGGAGCUGCAUUGUCCAAUAUGGUAGCCAUGAGGCACAUGUGGCUAUUGAGCACUUGAAAUGUGGCUAAUCCCAAUUGAACUGCACUGUAAGUGGAAAACAACACACUGGAUUUCAAAGAUGUAGUACAAGACAAAAAAAGAGGAUCUAAAACAUCUCAUUAAUGGCUCUUUGUAGUACUUACUACGUGUUGAAAUUAUAGUUUGUGAAAUAAAAUAUUUCAUGUGAAAUAUAUUGUGUGAAAUAAAAUAUUAUUAAAAUUAA